Molecule: ribosomal RNA, 407 nt
Filed under: uncultured Streptomyces sp.
Lineage: Bacteria; Bacillati; Actinomycetota; Actinomycetes; Kitasatosporales; Streptomycetaceae
Description: bacterial SSU rRNA
Rfam family: Bacterial small subunit ribosomal RNA
Source: RNAcentral
UGGGGAAUAUUGCACAAUGGGCGCAAGCCUGAUGCAGCGACGCCGCGUGAGGGAUGACGGCCUUCGGGUUGUAAACCUCUUUCAGCCGGGAAGAAGCGCAAGUGACGGUACCUGCAGAAGAAGCGCCGGCUAACUACGUGCCAGCAGCCGCGGUAAUACGUAGGGCGCAAGCGUUGUCCGGAAUUAUUGGGCGUAAAGAGCUCGUAGGCGGCUUGUCACGUCGGGUGUGAAAGCCCGGGGCUUAACCACGGGUCUGCAUUCGAUACGGGCUGGCUAGAGUGUGGUAGGGGGGAUCGGAAUUCCUGGUGUAGCGGUGAAAUGCGCAGAUAUCAGGAGGAACACCGGUGGCGAAGGCGGAUCUCUGGGCCAUUACUGACGCUGAGGAGCGAAAGCGUGGGGAGCGAACA